GACGAACGCUGGCGGCGUGCUUAACACAUGCAAGUCGAACGGAAAGGCCCCCACUUUUUUGGUGGGGGUGCUCGAGUGGCGAACGGGUGAGUAACACGUGGGUGAUCUGCCCUGCACUUCGGGAUAAGCUUGGGAAACUGGGUCUAAUACCGGAUAGGACCAUGGUUUAGUGUCUCAUGGUGGAAAAAUUAUUGUUUUGGUGCAGGAUGAGCUCGCGGCCUAUCAGCUUGUUGGUGGGGUAAUGGCCUACCAAGGCGUCGACGGGUAGCCGGCCUGAGAGGGUGGACGGCCACAUUGGGACUGAGAUACGGCCCAGACUCCUACGGGAGGCAGCAGUGGGGAAUAUUGCACAAUGGGCGCAAGCCUGAUGCAGCGACGCCGCGUGGGGGAUGACGGCCUUCGGGUUGUAAACUCCUUUCGUUAGGGACGAAGCCACACCUUUUUUUGGGUGUGGUGA
This 457-nucleotide ribosomal RNA is filed under the name Corynebacterium matruchotii. RNAcentral describes it as "bacterial SSU rRNA". It matches the Rfam family "Bacterial small subunit ribosomal RNA", at positions 28 to 472 of the family's 1533-position model. Lineage: Bacteria; Bacillati; Actinomycetota; Actinomycetes; Mycobacteriales; Corynebacteriaceae. The record is from RNAcentral.